GUGUGUUUCUUUGUCAAUUAUGUUCUCCUAUUUAUUUAUAUUGUAGUCCUGUAAUGUUGUGUUGUCAUUCUAAUGUUAUAUUUCACAUGGCCAUAAAAGAGGGAGGUUUGGCAUGCCACAAAACCAGGUUCACCCACCAUUUUUUCCUUUAAAAAUGUCCUGUACCAAGUCAGGAAUAUGGCCAUUGUUAUAUUAUAGUUCGUUUAUGUGUGUUCUACAUUUUAACGUUGUGUUUCCGUUGUGUCGUUUGUUUUCUCUUAUUUGUGAGUGUGAAUUCACAUUACUAUAAGACGUGUCACGGUACUUAUCUAUCCCAAAUUCAUGUAUUUGGUUUUGAUGUUAUAUUUGUUAUUCUCAUAGGAUUUUGUCUAAUGCUUAGUCCGUUUCUGUGUGUGUUACAUUUUAAUGUUGUGUCGUUGUUCUCCUCUUAUAUUUAAUGCGUUUCCCUCAGUUUUAGUUUGUUACCCCGAUUUUGUUUUUUUGUCCAUGGAUUUAUGAGUUUUGAACAGCGGUAUACUACUGUUGCCUUUAUU
This 533-nucleotide long non-coding RNA is filed under the name Mytilus galloprovincialis (Mediterranean mussel). The record is from RNAcentral. Lineage: Eukaryota; Metazoa; Mollusca; Bivalvia; Mytilida; Mytilidae.